This 226-nucleotide ribosomal RNA is filed under the name Klebsiella pneumoniae. RNAcentral's name for it is "partial 23S ribosomal RNA". It matches the Rfam family "Bacterial large subunit ribosomal RNA", at positions 1412 to 1640 of the family's 2925-position model. Lineage: Bacteria; Pseudomonadati; Pseudomonadota; Gammaproteobacteria; Enterobacterales; Enterobacteriaceae. The record is from RNAcentral.
UAGUCGAUGGGAAACAGGUUAAUAUUCCUGUACUUGGUGUUACUGCGAAGGGGGGACGGAGAAGGCUAUGUUAGCCGGGCGACGGUUGUCCCGGUUUAAGCAUGUAGGCUGAUUGUCCAGGCAAAUCCGGAUAAUCAAGGCUGAGGUGUGAUGACGAGGCACUACGGUGCUGAAGUAACAAAUGCCCUGCUUCCAGGAAAAGCCUCUAAGCAUCAGGUAACAUCAA